AUAAUUUAGGGUUUAGAGUCCCUUCUUCCGCACUGGUACCUGGUAUAUACCUACCAUCUACCUAUAUCACUAAAGUGGUACGAGUUCGAAUCUCGUUCUGGGCACCA
Molecule: transfer RNA, 107 nt
Filed under: Mucilaginibacter straminoryzae
Lineage: Bacteria; Pseudomonadati; Bacteroidota; Sphingobacteriia; Sphingobacteriales; Sphingobacteriaceae
Description: tRNA-OTHER
Source: RNAcentral